This 774-nucleotide ribosomal RNA is filed under the name uncultured Providencia sp. RNAcentral describes it as "bacterial SSU rRNA". It matches the Rfam family "Bacterial small subunit ribosomal RNA", at positions 723 to 1502 of the family's 1533-position model. The record is from RNAcentral. Lineage: Bacteria; Pseudomonadati; Pseudomonadota; Gammaproteobacteria; Enterobacterales; Morganellaceae.
CGGCCCCUGGACAAGACUGACGCUCAGGCGCGAAGCGUGGGGAGCAAACAGGAUAGAUACCUGGUAGUCACGCUGUAAACGAUGUCGAUUUGGAGGUUGUUCCCUUGAGGAGUGGCUUCCGGAGCUAACGCGUUAAAUCGACCGCUGGGGAGUACGGCCGCAAGGUUAAAACUCAAAUGAAUUGACGGGGGCCCGCACAAGCGGUGGAGCAUGUGGUUUAAUUCGAUGCAACGCGAAGAACCUUACCUACUCUUGACAUCCAGAGAAUUUAGCAGAGAUGCUUUAGUGCCUUCGGGAACUCUGAGACAGGUGCUGCAUGGCUGUCGUCAGCUCGUGUUGUGAAAUGUUGGGUUAAGUCCCGCAACGAGCGCAACCCUUAUCCUUUGUUGCCAGCACAUUAUGGUGGGAACUCAAAGGAGACUGCCGGUGAUAAACCGGAGGAAGGUGGGGAUGACGUCAAGUCAUCAUGGCCCUUACGAGUAGGGCUACACACGUGCUACAAUGGCGUAUACAAAGAGAAGCGACCUCGCGAGAGCAAGCGGAACUCAUAAAGUACGUCGUAGUCCGGAUUGGAGUCUGCAACUCGACUCCAUGAAGUCGGAAUCGCUAGUAAUCGUAGAUCAGAAUGCUACGGUGAAUACGUUCCCGGGCCUUGUACACACCGCCCGUCACACCAUGGGAGUGGGUUGCAAAAGAAGUAGGUAGCUUAACCUUCGGGAGGGCGCUUACCACUUUGUGAUUCAUGACUGGGGUGAAGUCGUAACAAGGUAACCA